Molecule: transfer RNA, 66 nt
Filed under: Planorbella pilsbryi
Lineage: Eukaryota; Metazoa; Mollusca; Gastropoda; Planorbidae
Description: tRNA-Glu
Source: RNAcentral
UUUUUUGAAGUGUUUCACAUUAUCUUUUCAAGAUAAAAAAGUUAAUAAUAACCUUACUAAAAGCGA